AUUUAAAUAGCUUAUUUAUAGAGCAUAGUAUUGAAGAUACUAAGGAAAUAUAUUUUAUUUUUGAAUA
Molecule: transfer RNA, 67 nt
Filed under: Campyloscelina sp. AH-2016
Lineage: Eukaryota; Metazoa; Arthropoda; Insecta; Coleoptera; Curculionidae
Description: tRNA-Phe
Source: RNAcentral